GGGGACGAACUGGUUUCGACCGGGCUAGUGAAGUGUAGGUUGCGUGUCGUGGUUGGUCAGCGGGCCACGUUAAAAGCCGACUAUUAAAUUCAAAUGCCGAACCUAAAAUGGCAUUGGCUGCCUAAUGAAAGGCUGCCCCGAGUACAUGCUGUCGCCGAAAUGGUGUGAUAUUCGGACGUAAAUUCGGAUCGUUCCCGUUCAAGUCGAUUACGGCGGGGGCUAAAAAGGUUGUCGAAUCGUUUGCGAGGUACCGUUGUCGGUAAGGGACUGAGCGAGCUAAAAAUUAAAUAACCGGACACACACGUAGAUACUUAUGUGGAGCAGUUUCGGGACGCGGGUUCGAUUCCCGCCGUCUCCAAUU
Molecule: transfer-messenger RNA, 361 nt
Filed under: Planctomycetaceae bacterium
Lineage: Bacteria; Pseudomonadati; Planctomycetota; Planctomycetia; Planctomycetales; Planctomycetaceae
Rfam family: transfer-messenger RNA
About the family: Bacterial tmRNA, also known as 10Sa RNA or SsrA, is named for its dual tRNA and mRNA-like properties. Its role is to liberate the mRNA from a stalled ribosome. To accomplish this part of the tmRNA is used as a reading frame that ends in a translation stop signal.
Source: RNAcentral